Molecule: ribosomal RNA, 253 nt
Filed under: uncultured bacterium
Lineage: Bacteria
Description: partial 16S ribosomal RNA
Rfam family: Bacterial small subunit ribosomal RNA
Source: RNAcentral
UACGAAGGUCCCAAGCGUUAUCCGGAUUUAUUGGGUUUAAAGGGUGCGUAGGCGGUUUAUUAAGUCAGUGGUGAAAGCCUUCAGCUUAACUGAAGAACUGCCAUUGAUACUGAUGAUCUUGAGUAUGAUUGAGGCGGGCGGAAUGUGUCAUGUAGCGGUGAAAUGCUUAGAUAUGACACAGAACACCGAUUGCGAAGGCAGCUCGCUAAGCCAUAACUGACGCUGAUGCACGAAAGCGUGGGGAGCAAACAGG